Molecule: RNA transcript, 6354 nt
Organism: Calidris pugnax (ruff)
Lineage: Eukaryota; Metazoa; Chordata; Aves; Charadriiformes; Scolopacidae
Gene: MTAP
Gene name: methylthioadenosine phosphorylase
Exons: 9
Source: RefSeq, a predicted model, not a curated record
GAGCGCCGGGCGGCGGAGGGCCCCGGCGGGCAGCGGGGGCGGGGCCGGGCCCCACGCGGCGCCACCGCCUCCCUCUCGCCCUCCUCGCCAACAUGGCCGCGGCCGUGAAGAUUGGUAUUAUUGGUGGAACUGGCCUGGAUGAUCCAGAUAUCUUGGAAGGAAGAACAGAAAAAUAUGUUGAUACUCCUUAUGGCAAGCCAUCAGAUGCUUUGAUAUUGGGAAAGAUAAAAAAUGUGGAUUGUGUGCUGUUGGCAAGACAUGGAAGACAUCAUACAAUUAUGCCAUCGAACGUCAAUUACCGUGCCAAUAUCUGGGCAUUAAAAGAAGAAAAUUGUUCACAUGUAUUAGUGACUACAGCCUGUGGUUCAUUACGAGAAGAAAUACAACCUGGUGAUCUUGUCAUAAUUGACCAGUUCAUUGACAGGACAACUAAAAGACACUGUACUUUAUACGAAGGACUACACUCCGCUGUUGCAGGAGUAUGUCAUAUUCCAAUGGCAGAGCCAUUCUGCACCAAAACCAGAGAGGUUCUUAUUGAGACUGCCAAGAAGCUUGGGCUGCAGUGUCAUUCCAAGGGGACAAUGAUCACAAUUGAAGGCCCACGUUUCAGUUCUCGAGCAGAAAGCUUGAUGUUUCGCAGCUGGGGAGCUGAUGUUAUCAACAUGACCACAGUGCCUGAAGUGGUUCUGGCAAAAGAAGCUGGAAUGAGUUAUGCUAGUAUUGCUAUGGCAACAGAUUAUGACUGCUGGAAGGAACAUGAAGAAGCAGUUUCAGUGGAUCAAGUUUUAAGGACGCUGAAAAUGAAUGCAGAUAAGGCUACUAGCUUACUCCUUACUGCUAUACCUCAGAUAGGUUCCAUGGAAUGGACCGACACCCUGCACACCUUGAGAGUAUGCUUGAUUCAUUUCUGGCUGGAGCGCAGAGGGAAAGAACAAAUAUAGUUUGAAUGUCUAUCCAACUUCUCAACAAGUUUUUUAUGACAAAUAGGCAUUUCCAAGAGUACAGGAGCAUGAAGUGCGAGAGGUGGGGAUCACAUUAAGAUAGUGUGGGAGACAGGAAAAGAGAAUUGGAGUGUGAAAAACAAAAAGCAAACAGAAACAAGGAUUUCUGUUCGUGGAAGCAGCAGCAGUCUGAAAAGGAGGAAGCCUAUUGAGGAAACUUUUGAGAGUCCAGUCUCUGAUACCUCUCUUCAGUUCUUUCUUUAUUUUUUCUGAAAAUCACUGUGUUGACUAAAAUUUGAAUGUGUAAGAAAAAUGAACACAGACUUAAGUCAUGUCUUCAUGUACCUGAAGUUGUGUCCCUGAAAUUGAACUACCAACAGAACUGUAUAUACUUUAAAAAUCUUUUAUGUCUUCUGAUUUGGAUCAAAUUUUCAGUUUUGUUUACAAUAUGUUGUCUUGUCAGUGACUCUUAACUCUCAUUUAGUCAGUAUCCUGAAGGAAAGCAAAAUUCACCCAGACACUCCUAAGCAUACUUGACCAGGUCAGGUUUUGGAGGUCCAACCCAAAUAUUUGAAGUGAGUCUUCUGCUGAUUCUUCUCUAGAAAACCUACCUUUUAUUAGGGGGUCUUGGAUUCCUCAGUCAGUUCUCUGAAACAGUUAUUUUAAUGUCCCCUUUAUAAAUUUUUGAGAGGUAACUGACUUGUCCCUUUCCCCUUAGCAGUCUUUAGGAAGUUGUGUCAUGGAUGGGUAAGGGAGACGACAGAAUCAGUAUUUCUUUUCCCCUCUAAUACACCAAAAACAUUUUCAGAGGACUGGGCCACACUUUUCAUUUCACAGAAUCAUGGAAUAGUCAGAGUUGGAAGGGACCUCUAGAGAUCAUCUGGUCCAACUCCCCUGCUAAAGCAGGAUUGCCCAGAGCACAUCACUCAGGACUGCAUCCAGGCGGAUCUUGAGAAUCUCCAGAGAAGGGGACUCCACAGCCUCCCUGAGCACCCUGUUCCAGGGCCCUGGCACCCUCAACAUACAGAAGUUUUUUCAUUUGAUACAGGUGCCUGGCUAUACCAAAAAAAAAAAAACAAAAACCCACCCAAAACCCAGAGUUUGAACAAAUAAUCCAAAAAAAAAAAAAAAAAAAGGGCUAGGUAUUCCCAAGUAUGUAACGCUCUUUAGGUACUGAGGAGUCUACCACCAGUUCUGGCAGGUGUCCUUCAGUAAGCAGUGUCCUGCUGCUUUCCCUGGCAUGAUUGUCUUGAUUCUCCAUCAGGAGUGAAAAAGCAGGUGACUGGAAAGAGCUGACACAAAGUUUGCAGGGUUCCUCUUUAAUGAACACUAACCCUUCUUUCCCUUAAGCAUCUGCUACUGCCUGGUAUCAGUGAUGAAUAUUGAGAUAGUUUCACUUCAGCUUGGCAAUUCUUAUGUGUUUGUGCUCUUUGCUGAUAGGAGCUGAUUUGAGUGAUAGUAUACUGGGAAAGGGAGUUAAUCUGAAGGCAUUAGAAGAACUGGAAACAGGAACAAGGUAUUGGCAGCGGGACUUGAGAUUUUAUGUCAGGAGAGUAGUAGUCACAAUUGUUUCUGAUUUAACACAACCAAGUACUCACAAUCAAGUGACAGGAAAGUCUGAGGUUUUGGAGGGUUCCUCUGAUUUUACUUCAGAAGGGCAGAAAAGGCUAAAAAUCUUUCUGUUUGAAGCAUUAAAUGGUGGUAAAGUAUAUGAAAGAUUGGUCCUAGGCUUCUGUGUUGGUGAAUAAGGAGAGAGGCAAUUAUGCCAUACAGCAGAGAAAUAAAUAUGUGCUUCUGUACUAGUGUGUGGUUGAACCAUAAAGAUUUCUAAGACUGUUCUCUUUGUACAUGUGAAGUGUUCUUCUGUAUAUUUUAAUCUGGGAAUUUUGAAGGUCAGAUGAUGGGGGUUUUUGAACUGAUCUUUUCUGGAGGCACCUUUUCCCAGAGCUGAAAGGCAGCAGCUCUUGCAUGCCCUGUGGUAAUGUGGUGAGGAACGCAGACGAGAAGGGAGCUGAGCAAGGCUGCAGCUGAAACUCUGCAACCAGGGACGAUGUAAAGCCGUGCCAGCCUGCAUCCAAGCCGCUGCUGGGCAUCGCAAAUGGGCAUUUCCAGUGUCUGGUGUUUGGGGAAGAAUGUGGAACCAUAAAGCUCUACAAGGACACAACUUUUCCUUUCUGAGCUCUGUUAUCUGGCUGCCAUGACUGGAGGAGCUUCACCAGGCAGGAGAAAGUACGCUGCCAGUCUGUUUGCCCAGCUGCAUUUGUCUGUCUCCUCCCAUGGAGGUAUGCAUCCCACCCACACAUACGCGGUAGUGUCAUCUCUGAAUUUCACAGUAGUCUUCAGGAAACCCUGGACUGUUGAAGCAAAAAUGUUGAAGGGCUGGUUUUCUGCUAAAGGAUAGGCUGCCUGCCAUCUCUUCUUUUUCAUGUGUCUUUUCAUCUGAGAUAUGCCAGUGAGUUUAGGUGUAGUUUGAAUGUUACUGGUUUUUAGGCUGGUAUGACCGAGCUCUGUUGCUGUAAAAAGAGGUAAUUCUCCAGGCUCAGGUUACAUGAACUCGAAAAAAAAAAAGUUUGGAGCAAGCUUUUCUGCAUCUUCCUUCUUGUCAUUUUGAGGCGUGGUCGGGGUACAAAGCCUUUACUCUUUCAGAACAGGGUAUAACCACAUUUUAUUUAUGUCAUAGAUCAGAAAACAGAGAUGGUGCUAUUGAUCACAGUGGUCCAAGUGAUUUCUGGCUGGUGUCAGGAAAAUUUCAGGAUAGAAUGAGACAACCAUGGAUGAGGUAGAGCUGGAUCUCCCGUUCACGGACAAGAGUUGUUUAAUGAGGUGAUAAUCACUGUCAGUUGUUGCUGUAAUGCUCAGGAAAUAGCGAUGUUCAGCAUCUUCUGGGGAACAAGGAAGGCAAGUAGCAGAGUACAGAUGCUGGAGUACAGAUGCUGGAGUUCAGGUGAGCAUACUUGGGUUUAACCAGUGAAGUAGUAGGUAUCAUCUCAUGGGAGGCAGAUCUGAAGGGGCAAGGAGCUCCAGAAAGCAGGAGGGACUUUAAGGACAGCAUUCUCCAAGCACAAGUGAUCCACAGAAAAACCAGUCAGGCGUCUCACUUGACUGAACAGGCUCUAGUGCAAAAAUGCAGCAUUCAAGGACUGGAAGCAGGGACAAGCUACAAAUAAGGAAUCCAGAACCAAGAGCAGGCAUGUAGGGAUGGUUUCAAAUUUGGCUAUAAUUGACAGUAGGACGUCACAAGCAACAAGAACUUCAGCCACUGCAUUGGUAUCAAAGGUUGAUCGAGUAAAACAUGGGCUCAUUGCUGAAUGAAGUAAAUGAAUCGGUGACAGCAAUUUCAAAGGGGAACGAAUAUAGUAGGUAUUUUUUUGUCUUUGUUAGGGAAAGUAUUGGCAAGAGAGGAAAAACUGUCUUCUUGAAAAGAAUUUUAACUCAUAACAACUGGGAACUGAGCUCUGUAUCUUUAUUAUGGUAAAGUUUGAUAACAGGAGGAUCAGGAGACAACCUGUACUGGGAUGAUAAAAGGAAUGUCACAUAAGAAUUGAUUUUUCUUAAAGCAUGGGUGUAAGACAGCCUGUGGUAAGGUGUUAGAGCUUCUGUAAAUGCUUCUCAGAUAAACUUCUGGACUCUGUUAUUAACUGCCAAUAAGUCAAAUCCGUGAACGUACUUGCGUGACUAGAGUGAAUUGGCUCAGGUGAGUAAGGUGAAGGGGGAAAAUUCAUCAAGACUUCACAUCGUCUGUAGUGGCAGUGGUCUUCAUAUUGUCCUUGCAGGCUGAGGACCUCUUAAGAAAACUGAGAUUGAAGUGUUUCUCAGGCCCUACUCUUGAAUGUGGUUGAUGUCAAAGUUGCGUGUCCCUCCAUAACAUGAGUAUCAGCCAGUGCACCUUUAGAGAAAGGUUUCUAUCCUUGACAGCGAUUCUUCAGAAUUGAUGAAGAAACAUGUAGAAAUCACUUUUAUUUAAGGAACUUCAUUUUCAGAGCGUUAUGAUUAUAUUUGUGAAAACCUUGCUAUCAAUGUGGUGCAUGUAAACCAGUGUGCUAGCCUUAAAAAUAAAAAGCAAGCUGCACAAUUUUUCAUUUGUAAGUUGUAAGCCUAAAAGUCUGUAAUUUAGUGUUUCUGCAGUAUGAUUGUGUGGUGGGUUGACCUUGGCUAGAUGCCAGGUGCCCGCCAAAGCCACUGUAUCGCUGCCUCUCCUCAGCUGGACAGGGGGAGAAAAAUUAAGACAAAAGGCUUGUGGGUGAAGAUAAGGACAGGGAGAUCCUCAGCAAUUACUGUCAUGGGAAAACUAAUUUGGCUCAGGGAAAUUAAUUCAAUUUAUUGCAAAGCAAGUCAGAGUAAGAUAAUGAGGAAACCAAAUCUUUAAAACCGCUUUCCCCCACCCCUCCCUUUUUCUGUGGCUCAGCUUCACUCCUUAGUUCUCUGCUUCCUCCCCCCAAGUGGCACAGGGGGCUGGGAGUUGGGGUUGCAGUCAGUUAAUCACAUAUUGUCUCUGCCACUCCUUCCUCCUUAUUGUCUUUCCCUGCUCCAGUGUGGGCUUCCUCUCAUGGGAGGCAGAGUCCUCCGUGAACUUCUCAAAAGUGAGUUCUUUCCACGGGCUACAGUUCUUCAUUAACUGCUCCAACAUGGGUCCUUCCACAGGGCCACAGCUUCUGCCAGGAGCCUGCUCCAGCACAGGCUUUCCACGGGAUCACAACCUUCUUCAGAGCAUCCACCUGCUCCAGCAUGGAGGCCUCCACAGGUUGCAGGUGGACAUCUGCUCCACCAUGGACCUCCAGGGGCUGCAGGGGGACAGCCUGACUCACCAUAAUCUUCACCACAGGCUGCAGGGGAAUCUCUGCUCCAGCACCUGGAGCACCUUCUCCCCCUCCUUCAUUGACCUUGGUGUCUGCAGAGUUGUUACUCUCACAUAGUCUCACUCCUCUCUCCGGCUGCAGUUGCUGUUGCAUAGAUUUUUUUUUCCACCUUCUUAAAUAUGUUCUCACAGAGACACUACCACCGUCACUGAUGGGCUUGGCCUUUGCCAGCAGUGGGUCUGUCUUGGAGCUGGCUGGCGACAGCUCUACCAGACAUUGGGGAAGCUCCUAGAAGCUUCUCACAGAGGCCACCCCUGUAGGCCCCCCGCUACCAAAACCUUGCUACACAAACCCAAUACAGACCGUUGUUUUCAAUACCAGCAAGUCUGUUACAUAGUUUUAAAAAGUUGUAAUGAGAAGUUUUUGAACUGUUGAAGGGUAUGCCCUCCCAGUAAUUCUUCGAACACUUGUGGUGUUGGACAAAGUUGGAUAGUGUGCACAUGGAAAGAGUUACACCUGUUUGUAAUCCAAAUAGAAGCUGUGUCAUCUGCCUUUACGUUGAAAAGUAAUUCUGCUCUGCAUUGGCAGAGGAAGCAUUCAUCUACUUUGGCUUUUUA